RNAcentral lists this ribosomal RNA (497 nucleotides) under uncultured bacterium. Its description in RNAcentral is "partial 16S ribosomal RNA". It matches the Rfam family "Bacterial small subunit ribosomal RNA", at positions 28 to 507 of the family's 1533-position model. The record is from RNAcentral.
GAUGAACGCUGGCGGCGUGCCUAAUACAUGCAAGUCGAGCGAACAGACGAGGAGCUUGCUCCUCUGACGUUAGCGGCGGACGGGUGAGUAACACGUGGAUAACCUACCUAUAAGACUGGGAUAACUUCGGGAAACCGGAGCUAAUACCGGAUAAUAUAUUGAACCGCAUGGUUCAAUAGUGAAAGACGGUUUUGCUGUCACUUAUAGAUGGAUCCGCGCCGGAUUAGCUAGUUGGUAAGGUAACGGCUUACCAAGGCAACGAUGCGUAGCCGACCUGAGAGGGUGAUCGGCCACACUGGAACUGAGACACGGUCCAGACUCCUACGGGAGGCAGCAGUAGGGAAUCUUCCGCAAUGGGCGAAAGCCUGACGGAGCAACGCCGCGUGAGUGAUGAAGGUCUUCGGAUCGUAAAACGCUGUUAUUAGGGAAGAACAAAUGUGUAAGUAACUAUGCACGUCUUGACGGUACCUAAUCAGAAAGCCACGGCUAACUACGUG